This 713-nucleotide long non-coding RNA is filed under the name Homo sapiens (human). Its description in RNAcentral is "long intergenic non-protein coding RNA 609". The record is from RNAcentral. Lineage: Eukaryota; Metazoa; Chordata; Mammalia; Primates; Hominidae.
ACAAAGGGGAGAGAAGGUCCUGCUGUCUAUGGGCAAGCCUGAGCACAGAGGCUGCUCUGCUGGUGGGGGUGGGGUCACUUCUCUCAGCCCCAGACUGUCAGCUCUCAGGAUUAUCCACCUCGGCUCCUGGUUGCAGCAACUGCUGUGGCAGUAUGUGGAGCGAGCACCUCUGGCUCCCAACUUCUCCUGACUGAGCUGGCCACUCGCUUCCUUCUCCUCUGUGCCUCAGGCGCUUGCUGAGACUUCUCUGUUGGACUCUAGUGCUCUCUCCUGGAUGUUCUAUUCGAGCUCUGCCGCACUAAGCUCUCUACAUGGCCGAGGCACCAGACCAGAAUGCGCCCUUUCGACAGGCAGAGAGAGCCAAAGGGGAAAAGAGCUGAGUCAAGGCUGCCAAGUUCCUGCUUCCAGCCCUACCAGCCGGUCACUCGCGCCUUGCAAUGAGGAAACCAGGAGUCCUAUCUAGAGCCUUUCCAUAGUUGUGGGAAAGAAGAUGGGUAAAGUUAUUGUUAAUCUACAGAGGAAGGAAUGAUGCCAAGUUUUUCAAGGCUUCCAGAGUCACAGGAGGAGUCACUUGGUAAAUCCAGGAGCAGAAACCAGAGGCAGCAAAGCAGUCUUCGUGCAUGCUACACAUCUGAUUUUUCUCUUCCCAAUGCUGUUUUUUUCAGUUCGUGCUUCAUUAGUAAAAAUAUGUGUCCUAAUUUAAAACACACUCA